UGAGUAAUACAUCGGAACGUGUCUUCUAGUGGGGGAUAACUGCCCGAAAGGGCAGCUAAUACCGCAUGAGACCCGAGGGUGAAAGCGGGGGAUCGCAAGACCUCGCGCUGGAAGAGCGGCCGAUGUCCGAUUAGCUAGUUGGUGAGGUAAAGGCUCACCAAGGCGACGAUCGGUAGCUGGUCUGAGAGGACGACCAGCCACACUGGGACUGAGACACGGCCCAG
Molecule: ribosomal RNA, 224 nt
Filed under: uncultured bacterium
Lineage: Bacteria
Description: partial 16S ribosomal RNA
Rfam family: Bacterial small subunit ribosomal RNA
Source: RNAcentral